GCUGGUCCUUAGCCUGUAUUGCGGAGCAAGCUUUCGGCGACCAGCUGGACCCUGGGCACCCUUCUUCGAACAAUGGCUUUUAAUUCUCAGACUAGAACGUUUAGGAUUACAAAAGAAACUGGUUCUUUUCACAUUCUUAUUCUUGUGAUGUAGCAUUCCGCAUAUAUAUAUAUAUAUAUAUAUAUAUAUAUAUAUAUAUGUAUCCAACUAUCCUAAAAGACACUACCCUUCAUCAUUCCAUGCCAUUAGACAUGUAUAGGACCAUGCAUGGUGAUCUCCUCCAGACAAAAGUAAAUGCUGGUGCAGAACAGUGUCUUCCUGGUACUACACAUGAAGAUGUCCCGCUCUCCCCUGCUCAAGGAGAGAGUGCCUGACCUGAGCUGGGCCCAUCAGAUCCAGUACUUACCUGGAAUACGAAAAAGAUGGAGAGAGUGACCAAAGAUUACAAAAAUCUCUGAAGCUUAUCUACUUGAGAGAGAGUCCCUGAAGAUACUGGCCUCUCAUUCCUGCUAUGUAUAUCCAAUGUGACUGAACUCUGAAUAAAAUAUACAAGUUAUAACAAUGUAGCAAUUGACCCAGCAAACGAGGACACAAACGUGUUGGAGGGAUUUGAGUUUGAUGUCUUGCAUACAAUGUGAUCCCACUGUAUGACUACACAAAUGUUGGCAAAAGUGAGUUCAGAGGAAAUGGUAGGCAAGUACUUCCCAGUUUUGGCCAGAAGAUGGAGAAAAAAGAAUUCUCAAAAAAUGUUAAAGGUGUCUACAGAGAAAUAGACAAGUGAUGCACGACAGAUACAUGUGUCAGUCUGGUCCCUGCAGUUGUAUUUGUAAUAAUACACAUUGGAGCAAUUUCAUGGCCAUCGGUUAGAGAAUGUUU
Molecule: long non-coding RNA, 876 nt
Filed under: Homo sapiens (human)
Lineage: Eukaryota; Metazoa; Chordata; Mammalia; Primates; Hominidae
Description: non-protein coding LINC01719:31
Source: RNAcentral